AAGGCCCAAGUCCUUCUGAUCGAGGCCCAGCCCGUGGACGGUGUGAGGCCGGUAGCGGCCCCCGGCGCGCCGGGCUCGGGNCUUCCCGGAGUCGGGUUGCUUGGGAAUGCAGCCCAAAGCGGGUGGUAAACUCCAUCUAAGGCUAAAUACCGGCACGAGACCGAUAGUCAACAAGUACCGUAAGGGAAAGUUGAAAAGAACUUUGAAGAAAGAGUUCAAGAGGGCGUGAAACCGUUAAGAGGUAAACGGGUGGGGUCCGCGCAGUCCGCCCGGAGGAUUCAACCCGGCGGCGCGCGUCCGGCCGUGCCGGUGGUUAGGCUGCUCUGCCUGGCUAGGCUUACACAGUGCUGAUAGAAGGCCACCUCUUGCUGUUCCUGGAAGACUGUGAUGGGCCCCUGCAGACCCCCUAGAGCAACUCCAAUCGAAAGCCCUGCAUCUAGGCCAUAGGAGAUGGAUUUCUAGGCAAGCUUUGACAAAGUGGAUGAAACAAUUAUCUCCGUUAUCGGCCAAAGCGGUAGACAUGUGAGAGUUGGGGGAUUUCUGCAGGUGGACAGCCUUGGCUAAGAAUCAACACCAAUGGUGAAAUGUGCCCAGGAAUAGCUCCCACCUCUCUCUCACUUGUGACUAUGAGCAUCUGAAGAUGGAUUGUGUAUCCUGACGAGCACUGUUCCCUGAAGAACAAAAAUCAUAGGUCGGAGGUUCAUUAAUCAGCGAGAUUCUCUUUGCAAAUACCACCUGAAUGAGUAGUCCCUGUUUUUAGAGAGAUUUUUAAAAAACGAUGACAGUCUGCACCAUGGCAUUGUUCUCAGGCCAAUGGAGCACUGUAACAUCAAUGUGCUUCAGCAGAAAUGGAUCCUUCAUAUAAAUCUGCUCGUGAGUAAACUCAAAAAUGACUACAUCCUAUCAACUGGCGUAGAUGAAUAUACAGAAGCUAUUCAUGGAGACUUCAAUAAGCAACCCAUCCAGUCUCUGCCUUCACUAUGCCCUACUUUGUACUGGAAAGUAAAGGGGACAGCUUGGUACUCACACUUUGUAUAACUAGGUUUUCCAAAAGUAGCGCAUACUCACUUUAGACAAGUAUGUCACCAGGUUGGCUGUUGAAGCAGGGUGACAAUAAAGGUCCCAGUCAAUAGUCAACCAAAGUGAUAUGUUCAGAACCCAUUUACUCGAAAGAGCAUUGCUUUAAUGCUCCUGCCCCACAUCCAACCACCCCUAUAUGCUUCCUUCUCACCCAGUUAGCCACUGCCCAGUCUUCAGUGGCACAUUUGUUGCCUUUAGUAUCAAAUCCUGACUGUUGUCUUGUCACUGACAGGUGUCUUCUAAAAUAAAGAGAGUAGCAAUGGAGCUGAGGAGAGCGUGCUGUGUAGAGUCUCUCUGUUAGACAACACCUUGUAUGCACCCUGAAGGCAGCCAUGGGUUAAGGUGCAGUUAGAGGUUCACGUGGGCAAGGCAAG
Long non-coding RNA from Mus caroli (Ryukyu mouse), 1454 nucleotides. RefSeq lists it as uncharacterized. Lineage: Eukaryota; Metazoa; Chordata; Mammalia; Rodentia; Muridae. The record is from RefSeq and is a predicted model, not a curated record.